CCACAGCAGGCAGGCACUCAUGCAGAUGGGUCUGGCUGCUUUCCUGCACGGCCACUGUGACUGCUUGGCCACUUGGGACUCAGGACACUGGACUCGGAUUUUCAUCUCCCAGAGGGUGGCCGUGACUGGGGAGAGCACAACCAGCGGCUAGAGGAGCACCAGGCACGCGCCUGGCAGGGUGCCAUGGAUGCAGGCACAGCUAGCCGGGAGCACGCCAGGUGGCAAGGUGGCGAGAGGGGCCUGUCUGGGCCCUCGGGGCCGGGGCACAUGGCAAGCCGCGGUGGAGUGGCGGGGCGAGGCGGCUUUGCACAAGGUGGACAUUCCCAGGGCCACGUGGUGCCAGGUGGCGGACUGGAAGGUGGCGGAGUGGCCAGCCAGGACCGGGGCAGCAGAGUCCCUCACCCACACCCUCAUCCCCCCCCAUACCCCCACUUCACCCGCCGCUACUAAGUCCCACUCACUGCGAGUUUUCGGGUGGGCAGACGCACUGUUGAAUCUGGUAGCCAGGGUUCCCUCGAACUUGGGGGAUCUUUUUAAAAGCAAAGUAAAUCCUGCCACCGUGUUGUAGCUCAAUACAAUGUGA
This 583-nucleotide small RNA is filed under the name Pan troglodytes (chimpanzee). RNAcentral's name for it is "processed transcript". The record is from RNAcentral. Lineage: Eukaryota; Metazoa; Chordata; Mammalia; Primates; Hominidae.